CAAAAACAUUUUUUAAUGAAAUAAUAUUAAAUAAAGUCUGCUCAAUGAAAUAAAUAGCCGCAGAAAAUUUACUGUGCUAAGGUAGCAUAAUCACUUGCCUUCUAAUUGAAGACUAGAAUGAACGGCUUAACAAUUAAAUAAUUUUUUUAAUAUAUAAAAAUAAAUUUCAUUAAGCAUAAAAAUAUGCUUAUCUAUAUAAUAGACGACAAGACCCCAUCGAACUUAACUGAAGUUAAGCUGGGGAAGCUAAUUAAUUAUCACUGUAAACCUAAUCAUAAAAUCAACACCCAUUAAAUGAAAUAAUUAAGUUACCGCGGGGAUAACAGCGUAAUAUUUCUCUAAAGCUCUAAUUUAAAGGAAAGAUUACGACCUCGAUGUUGAAUUAAUUUAUCUUACUAGCGCAAAAGCUAAAAAAGUAAGUCUGUUCGACUUUUUAAAAAUUACAUGAUCUGAGUUAAAACCGGAGA
RNAcentral lists this ribosomal RNA (467 nucleotides) under Domitius sp. 1 FB-2019. RNAcentral describes it as "partial 16S ribosomal RNA". It matches the Rfam family "Bacterial large subunit ribosomal RNA", at positions 1808 to 2622 of the family's 2925-position model. Lineage: Eukaryota; Metazoa; Arthropoda; Arachnida; Araneae; Nesticidae. The record is from RNAcentral.